UGUGCACCACCCUCUCACCCAAACGAAGGCAGCUGGCCCUGAAGUUCUCUGAGCUUGAGGACAAAAAAAGACCUCUGUGAGUUGUCAGGCUCUGUUACAGUCUGGGUCAGCAGACAAGAGUCCCAGGGCUCGGCCGUCUUCUCUAGGAGAGAAAAUAUUCGUGCCAUAUAGCGUGUUCUAAGAGUUCUCACCAGAAGCCCAGAAAGUUCUGUAUUUACUCAGCAUUCAAGAGGAAUAUCCACAGAAGCAGAAGUAGGAAUGGGGAAGGAGGGGACAAGUUUAGACCAAGCUCUUCUGUGACCUCACUUCUGCUUUUGAAGUCCCACAGCUCUAUAAGGCUACCUUCAUCCCCAAACAGGAACUGCUGCAAGGCCCGCAGCAGCCAUGGGUGAGUGGCUCUGGAGAUGGGGUAAGUGGCCUACGCACCCCAGAGGAACAGCUGGCAGCCUAGUCUUCGGGCAGCAGCUCCACUCAGCCCUGGGGAAUGACAGAUACAGGUGUGUUCCCUCAGGUGCAUAUGUGCAUGUGCUUGUGUGCAACUUCCUCCUCUGCUCUCAUUCCUGCAAGGUGCAUUCUCAGAAGGCUGUUACUCCACAGUCACUACGGUUGUGAAGCGGAACCAGACAACUUCCCAUUUUCGAGGUUCUACAAUUGGCAAUAUGGGAAAAUCUUACCCCAUUACCACCCAACUCGAUUCUUUCAAUGCAAGCUUGUCUAACCCAUAGCCUGCAGGCCACAUGUGACCCAGGAUGACUUUGGAUGUGGCCCAGUGCAAAUUCGUAAACUUUCUUAAAAUAUUAUAAGAUUGUUUUGCAAUACAUCAGUAUCGUUAGCGUUAGUGUAUUUUAUAUGUGGCCCAAGACAAUUCUUCUUCUGAUGUGGCCGAGGGAAGCCAAAAGAUUGGAUACUCCUGCGUAAGGGGGAAAUGCAUGUUUAUAGUCAUAUAUAUAUAUUUUUUUUUUCUAAUUUUUUUUUUGCACCCAGUGCAGUGGCACAAUCAUA
This 1002-nucleotide long non-coding RNA is filed under the name Homo sapiens (human). RNAcentral describes it as "HSALNT0299260". Lineage: Eukaryota; Metazoa; Chordata; Mammalia; Primates; Hominidae. The record is from RNAcentral.